GACGAACGCUGGCGGCGUGCUUAACACAUGCAAGUCGAACGGAAAGGCCCUGCUUUUGUGGGGUGCUCGAGUGGCGAACGGGUGAGUAACACGUGAGUAACCUGCCCUUGACUUUGGGAUAACUUCAGGAAACUGGGGCUAAUACCGGAUAGGAGCUCCUGCUGCAUGGUGGGGGUUGGAUAGUUUCGGCGGUUGGGGAUGGACUCGCGGCUUAUCAGCUUGUUGGUGGGGUAGUGGCUUACCAAGGCUUUGACGGGUAGCCGGCCUGAGAGGGUGACCGGCCACAUUGGGACUGAGAUGCGGCCCAGACUCCUACGGGAGGCAGCAGUGGGGAAGAGUGCACAAGGGGCGGAAGCCUGAUGCAGCAACGCCGCGUGCGGGAUGACGGCCUUCGGGUUGUAAACCGCUGUCGCCUGUGACGAAGCGUGAGUGACGGUAAUGGGUAAAGAAGCACCGGCUAACUACGUG
This 468-nucleotide ribosomal RNA is filed under the name uncultured bacterium. RNAcentral's name for it is "partial 16S ribosomal RNA". It matches the Rfam family "Bacterial small subunit ribosomal RNA", at positions 28 to 507 of the family's 1533-position model. The record is from RNAcentral.